Non-coding RNA from Podarcis lilfordi (Lilford's wall lizard), 69 nucleotides. The record is from the annotation of a GenBank genome assembly. Lineage: Eukaryota; Metazoa; Chordata; Lepidosauria; Squamata; Lacertidae.
GCCAUAGCUCACUGGUAGAACAUCUGUCUUGCAUGCAGAAGGUCCCAGUUUUAGUACCUGGCAUCUCCA